Molecule: long non-coding RNA, 561 nt
Organism: Erinaceus europaeus (western European hedgehog)
Lineage: Eukaryota; Metazoa; Chordata; Mammalia; Eulipotyphla; Erinaceidae
Exons: 3
Source: RefSeq, a predicted model, not a curated record
CUUGAGAGGCCAAAGAAAGAUGGGAGCCUCCAGAUAACACUGACUGACUACUGUUGUCAGCUGGUUGACGCAGCCCGGGACUUUGUGCCUGCAUGUUCCCACCCCUCUGCAGUGCGAGGACCUGAACCCACCACCAAAACCAAGAUCCAUAUUGACAGGUCCAGAGUCUAGCAAUCAGAGAACAGAAAGUCAAGUUGAGCCUCUAACAAUGGAAGUCACCUCUCAGAGAAAUGCGUGACUACCACUAAGGUGAAGAUGCUACCAUGACACCAUCCUGACUUUCCUGGGCAGAUGACCUCACCAAUGUGUCCUGGACCCCUACCUCUCCUAUCCCACUUGGGAAAGACAGAAACAGUCUGGAGGGACAGAUUGACCUAGCACUGUCCAUGUCCAACAGAGAAGCAAUUAUAGAAGUCAGACCUUCCACCUUCUGUAUUCCAUAAAGAUCUUUGGUCCAUACUUCCAAAAAGAUAAAGAAUAGGGAAGCUUCCAGUGGAAGGGGAUAGGAUACAGAAUUCUGGUGGUGGGAACUGUGUGACAUUGUUCCCUCCUUAUCCUACA